This 3193-nucleotide long non-coding RNA is filed under the name Phaseolus vulgaris (common bean). RNAcentral describes it as "long non-coding RNA (PVUL_LNC001648)". Lineage: Eukaryota; Viridiplantae; Streptophyta; Magnoliopsida; Fabales; Fabaceae. The record is from RNAcentral.
CUAUAGUGGACUUUCUUUCGAGUUCAAUUUCAUGUAUGCAACACUGCUUGACAUAAUCAAUAACUUCUGAUUCAUCAACAUGCAGUAAUUCCUGCUGUGAGAUUUGUUCAGUGUCUACUUGAACAAAGGCAGGAGUGAGUGAUAUUGUUAGGACUUCUUCCCUGGGUAACUGCAUUUUGCUUGAUUCUGCUGUAGCUUGGUCUUCUAUCUGUGGUCCAAAAUUUUCAUCAUCCUCAAUCCCUUGUUUUACUUCUGCAUCACAUGUUUGAACCUUGUCAUGUUGAUCAGUAUAGCUAGUGGUGUUUAUUUUGGCAGUGUCAUCAUCUACACAUUGUUUUGUUUGUUCCUCUUCGUUAGGUUUUUUCUCUGUAAUGUCUUCAUCCAGCUGUAUCUGUUCUUCUUUAGUGUCAUCAACUCUUUCGGUUACGAUCGCAACUGCAAUUCCUAUUGGUUGCCGAAUUUGAUUUUCUGGAUAUUAAGAAUCAAUCAUUUACAUGAAUUCUGCUAUCUUAUUAUUUAAAUGCAUGUACAGGUUCUUUGCAAAAUAAAAAAUAGUCGCAGUGGCUCAUAUAGCUCCCAUAUUUGCCAAGGAAUUACUGUACACAUUUUAUCGUCCGGAUUUAGUAGUGAGUAAAACAGCCAUUUUCAUCUAAACACGUGUUUUUAAAUUUCUAUAUACAAUAAAUAAUAUUCUUUCACGUAAAGUACUGUUUAGUUUUAUUUUCUUUACAGUAUUGAAGUUUUUGUUUUGGUUAGUGUUUUUCAGUAAAAACCGGUUCUAAAAUUUCAAAACAUAGUUACCUUCAAUUUCUGAGUUGUCGGUCUUCAAAUCAGCAAAUGUUUUGGAAUCUGUUUCUUCCUCUGCUUUAAUUUUUGUUGCAUCGCUGGUGGCUGAAUUCUCUGUUACUUUGCUGAUAUUGUCCUUGGUCUCGGAUUUUUCAGUUUCCUAGUUGAAUUUGUGAAAUGUAUGUGUAAAAUUUCAUUCAUAAGUUACGAAAAUUAUUGAUUUUAUUUUCAAAGUAGAUGCAAUAUAUGUAAAGUUUUACUAAUUUAAACCACUAAGGCCUAACCUGAGCAAAAGUUGUAUUUCUUCCAAGUUCAAUUUCUUCUAUGCAACUUUGCUUGACAUAAUCAAUAGUUUCUGAUUCAUCAACAUGCAGUAAUUCUUGCUGUAAGAUUUUUUCAGUGUCCAUUUGAACAGAGGCAGGAGUGAGUGUUAGGACUUCUUCCUUGGGUAACUGCAUUUUGCUUGAUUCUGCUGUAGCUUGGUCUUCUAUCUGUGGUCCUAAAUUUUCAUCAUCCUCAAUCCCUUGUUUUACUUCUGCAUCAGAUGUUUGAACCUUAUCAUGUUGAUCAGUAUAGCUAGUGGUGUUUACUUUGGCAGUGUCAUCAUCUACAUAUUGUUUUGUUUGUUCCUCUUCGUUAGGUUUUUUCUCUGUAAUGUCUUCAUCCAGCUGUAUCUGUUCUUCUUUAGUGUCAUCAACUCUUUCAGUUACGAUCGCUACUGAAAUUCCUAUUGGUUGCCGAAUUUGAUUUUCUGGAUAUUAAGAAUCAAUCAUUUACAUGAAUUCUGCUAUCUUAUUAUUUAAAUGCAUGUGCAGGUUCUUUGCAAAAUAAAAAAUAGUCGCAGUGGCUCAUAUAGCUCCCAUAUUUGCCAAGGAAUUACUGUACACAUUUUAUCGACCGGAUUUAGUAGUGAGUAAAACAGGCAUUUUCAUCUCAAUACUUGUUUUUAAAUUUCUAUAUACAAUAAAUUAUAUUUCUUUCACGCAAAGUACUGUUUAGUUUUAUUUUCUUUACAGUAUUGAAGUUUUUCUUUUGGUUAGUGUUUUUGAGUAAAAACCGGUUCUAAAAUUUCAAAACAUAGUUACCUUCGAUUUCUGACUUGUCGGUCUUGAAAUCAGCCAAUGUUUUGGAAUCUGUUUCUUCCUCUGCUUUAAUUUUUGUUGCAUCGCUGGUGGCUGAAUUCUCUGUUACUUUGCUGAUAUAGCUAGUGGUGUUUAUUUCGGCAGUGUCCUCAUCUACAAAUUGUGUUGUUUGUUCCUCUUCGUUAGGUUUUUUCUCUGUAAUGUCUUCAUCCAGUUGUAUCUGUUCUUCUUUAGUGUCACCAACUCUUUCGGUUACGAUCGUUAGUGCAAUUCCUAUUGGUUGCCAAACUUGAUCUUCUGGAUAUUAAGAAUCAAUGAUUUACAUAAAUAUUGGCAUCUUAUUAUUUAAGUGCAUGUACAGGUUUUUUGCAAAAUAGAAAAUAGUCCCAGUGGCUCAUAAAGCUCCCAUAUUUGCCAAGGAAUUACUGUACACAUUUUAUCGUCUGGAUAUAGUAGUGAGUAAAACAGCCAUUUUCAUCUAAACACGUGUUUUUAAAUUUCUAUGUACAUUAAAUAAUAUUUCUUUCACGCGAAGUAGUGUUUAGUUUUAUUUUCUUUACAGUAUUGAAGUUUUACUUUUGGUUAGUGUUUUUGAGUAAAAACCGGUUCUAAAAUUUCAAAACAUAGUUACCUUCGAUUUCUGACUUGUCGGUCUUGAAAUCAGCCAAUGUUCUGGAAUCUGUUCCUUCCUCUGCUUUAAUUUUUGUUGCAUCGCUGGUGGCUGAAUUCUCUAUUACUUUGCUGAUAUUGUCCUUGGUCUCGGGUUUUUCAGUUUCCUAGUUGAAUUUAUGAAAUGUUUGUGUGAAAUUUCUUUCAUAAGUUACGAAAAUUAUUGAUUUUAUUUUCAAAGGAGAUGCAAUAUAUGUAAAGUUUUACUAAUUUAAACCACUUAGGCCUAACCUGAGCAAAAGUGGUAUUUCUUCCAAGUUCAAUUUCUUCUAUGCAACUUUGCUUGACAUAAUCAAUAGCUUCUGAUUCAUCAACAUGCAGUAAUUCUUGCUGUAAGAUUUUUUCAGUGUCCAUUUGAACAGAAGCAGGAGUGAGUGUUAGGACUUCUUCCUUGGGUAACUGCAUUUUGCUUGAUUCUGCUGUAGCUUGGUCUUCUAUCUGUGGUCCUAAAUUUUCAUCAUCCUCAAUCCCUUGUUUUACUUCUGUAUCAGAUGUUUGAACCUUGUCAUGUUGAUCAAUAUAGCUAGUGGUGUUUAUUUCGGCAGUGUCCUCAUCUACACAUUGUGUUGUUUGUUCCUCUUCGUUAGGUUUUUUCUCUGUAAUGUCUUCAUCCAGCUGUAUCUGUUCUCCUUUAGUGUCAUCAACUCUUUCGGUUA